Ovis aries (sheep) is the source of this 57-nucleotide transfer RNA. It matches the Rfam family "tRNA", at positions 8 to 63 of the family's 71-position model. Rfam says of the family: Transfer RNA (tRNA) molecules are approximately 80 nucleotides in length. The record is from Rfam. Lineage: Eukaryota; Metazoa; Chordata; Mammalia; Artiodactyla; Bovidae.
UGGCUUAGAGGUUAAAGCAUCUGCUUCCCAUGCAGGAGACCCGGGUUUGAUCCCUGG